RNAcentral lists this unclassified non-coding RNA (265 nucleotides) under uncultured fungus. RNAcentral's name for it is "sequence contains ITS1, 5.8S rRNA gene". The stretch from base 217 to 265 matches the Rfam family "5.8S ribosomal RNA", at positions 1 to 49 of the family's 154-position model. The record is from RNAcentral. Lineage: Eukaryota; Fungi.
UUUCCGUAGGUGAACCUGCGGAAGGAUCAUUAGAGAAGCAUGAGGGAUGCUCCGGAGGGCCUCGGUCUGGCUUGCGCCCUUCGGGAGGCGCGCUCAAGACGUUUCACGCCGCACAGGACCCCGUCCGGACAUCCCGAACCAAACCACAACCGUGAACCCGUCGUCCUCGGACGAUACAUCUCCUGGGGUACAGAAAGUGAUACACAUAAACAGUAUAACUGUCAGCAACGGAUCUCUUGGCUCUCGCAUCGAUGAAGAACGCAGC